RNAcentral lists this ribosomal RNA (737 nucleotides) under Bacillus velezensis. RNAcentral describes it as "bacterial SSU rRNA". It matches the Rfam family "Bacterial small subunit ribosomal RNA", at positions 56 to 775 of the family's 1533-position model. Lineage: Bacteria; Bacillati; Bacillota; Bacilli; Caryophanales; Bacillaceae. The record is from RNAcentral.
UGCAAGUCGAGCGGACAGAUGGGAGCUUGCUCCCUGAUGUUAGCGGCGGACGGGUGAGUAACACGUGGGUAACCUGCCUGUAAGACUGGGAUAACUCCGGGAAACCGGGGCUAAUACCGGAUGGUUGUUUGAACCGCAUGGUUCAGACAUAAAAGGUGGCUUCGGCUACCACUUACAGAUGGACCCGCGGCGCAUUAGCUAGUUGGUGAGGUAACGGCUCACCAAGGCGACGAUGCGUAGCCGACCUGAGAGGGUGAUCGGCCACACUGGGACUGAGACACGGCCCAGACUCCUACGGGAGGCAGCAGUAGGGAAUCUUCCGCAAUGGACGAAAGUCUGACGGAGCAACGCCGCGUGAGUGAUGAAGGUUUUCGGAUCGUAAAGCUCUGUUGUUAGGGAAGAACAAGUGCCGUUCAAAUAGGGCGGCACCUUGACGGUACCUAACCAGAAAGCCACGGCUAACUACGUGCCAGCAGCCGCGGUAAUACGUAGGUGGCAAGCGUUGUCCGGAAUUAUUGGGCGUAAAGGGCUCGCAGGCGGUUUCUUAAGUCUGAUGUGAAAGCCCCCGGCUCAACCGGGGAGGGUCAUUGGAAACUGGGGAACUUGAGUGCAGAAGAGGAGAGUGGAAUUCCACGUGUAGCGGUGAAAUGCGUAGAGAUGUGGAGGAACACCAGUGGCGAAGGCGACUCUCUGGUCUGUAACUGACGCUGAGGAGCGAAAGCGUGGGGAGCGAACAG